AAAAGAAAAAAAACUCGCUCCACACAAGAACGAAUCAAGGGCGGUUGAGAGGAUGCGACGAGCGGUCGAACGAGAGCGGAUGCGGCGGCCGCUCGAUUCAGGCAAAGCAGGCGACCUACGGUGGGAUCGUGCCGACGCGCGAGCGAAUCCAGCCUACGAUUCACUCACGAGCGAAUCUAGCGUGAGGGGAUCAAGCAGAAACGCCUGAUGCGGGUGAACCGAGGACCGGUCGAUCCAGCCGUCGGCCGAUCCGCCUGCAAGUUUUGAAUCAGGCAUUCAUGUCUCGGGGCGACCUCUCGUUUGCACACUUCAGUUUCCAACUGAUGCGUGUAUAUAUGCUUCCUCCCCGGCCACUCUUCGCUCACCCUCUCUACUCCAGCAGCACAAAAUAUUCAAGAUCAUGUUAGGGUAGAUCUCCCUGUGUUCUUCCUUAUGCGUAUGUGUUGUGGAGAUUGCUGCCCCAAGCUUUUAACCCUGUUACCAAGGUUCACAUGGAUUUAAGUGUUUUUUCCUCACUUUGAACAAGCUGAAAACAUCAAGUUCACCUUCGAGCAGAAGAUGAUGUGUUUUGGCUUGAGAAAAAAUUGGCGUGGCAGACGAUAUAACUCCAAUCAAGACUGAACCUCAAAUGUCUGCUUACGAACAGAUGUAGGAGCAUUUGACAUUUAUUCACCUUGGAGCAGAAGAUGGUGUUUUUGGCUUGAGAAAAAAAUUGAGGUGGCUGACGAUAUAACUCCAAUCAAGGCUGAACUUAAAUGAUCUCCUUAAGAACAGAUAGAGCAGCAUUUGACAUUUCUUAAAGCUUAACCUUUUACUGGUGGUGUGGCAGGGGGCUAGAUCAAAAUUUUGUUGACGUAUAGUUGUUACUUUUCAAAGGUCUCUUGUAUUUGUGUGCUUGAUUUGGCAGUACGGCCUGUAAAAAAGACAUGUGCAAUGUUUGAUAAUGUGUUUUGGAGCCUCUCACUUCGUAAGCAAACUAAUUGCAGGUAUUUAUUUUUCAUAAA
Aegilops tauschii subsp. strangulata is the source of this 1004-nucleotide long non-coding RNA. RefSeq lists it as uncharacterized. The record is from RefSeq and is a predicted model, not a curated record. NCBI's taxonomy places the organism in Eukaryota, Viridiplantae, Streptophyta, Magnoliopsida, Poales, Poaceae.